AUUUAGUUGAAUAGGAACUCAGGUCAAGCGCCUUAGCCACUUGAUUCAAUGAUUUCGACCUCGCUCGAACUAUUAUGCCAUCAAAAUGACUCAGGUCAAGCGCCUUCGCCACUUGAUUCAAUAGGUUCGACCUCGCUCGAACUACAAGGCCAAGAGCCUUCGCCACUUGAUUCAAUGAUUUCGACCUCGCUCGAACUAUUAUGCCAUCAAAAUUUAGCACGUUAAAUUUCAGUUGAACUGAGAUUCAGGCUAAACGUCUUCGACAUUAAAGUCAACGAGU
RNAcentral lists this long non-coding RNA (280 nucleotides) under Nicotiana benthamiana. RNAcentral describes it as "long non-coding RNA (NBEN_LNC028460)". Lineage: Eukaryota; Viridiplantae; Streptophyta; Magnoliopsida; Solanales; Solanaceae. The record is from RNAcentral.